RNAcentral lists this ribosomal RNA (407 nucleotides) under uncultured bacterium. Its description in RNAcentral is "partial 16S ribosomal RNA". It matches the Rfam family "Bacterial small subunit ribosomal RNA", at positions 30 to 526 of the family's 1533-position model. The record is from RNAcentral.
AUUGAACGCUGGCGGCAGGCCUAACACAUGCAAGUCGAGCGGAGCGGCGGACGGGGGCGUAAUGCCUAGGAAUCUGCCUGGUAGUGGGGGAUAACGCACGGAAACGGGCGCUAAUACCGCAUACUAGCAGAUGAGCCUAGGUCGGAUUAGCUAGUUGGUGGGGGAACGGCCUACCAAGGCGACGAUCCGUAGCUGGUCUGAGAGGAUGAUUAGUCACACUGGAACUGAGACACGGUCCAGACUCCUACGGGAGGCAGCAGUGGGGAAUAUUGGACAAUGGGCGAAAGCCUGAUCCAGCCAUGCCGCGUGUGUGAAGAAGGUCUUCGGAUUGUAAAGCACUUUAAGUUGGGAGGCGUUACCGACAGAAGAAGCACCGGCUAACUCCGUGCCAGCAGCCGCGGUAAUAC